AACGAACGCUGGCGGCAGGCCUAACACAUGCAAGUCGAGCGCCCUUUCGGGGGAGCGGCGGACGGGUGAGUAACGCGUGGGAAUAUGCCCUUCUCUACGGAAUAGCCUCGGGAAACUGAGAGUAAUACCGUAUACGCCCUGUGGGGGAAAGAUUUAUCGGGGAAGGAUUAGCCCGCGUUGGAUUAGGUAGUUGGUGGGGUAAUCGCCUACCAAGCCGACGAUCCAUAGCUGGUUUGAGAGGAUGAUCAGCCACACUGGGACUGAGACACGGCCCAGACUCCUACGGGAGGCAGCAGUGGGUGAUCUUAGACAAUGGGGGCAACCCUGAUCUACCCAUGCCGCGUGAGUGAUGUAGUCCUUAGGGUUGUAAAGCUCUUUCAGCUGUGAAGAUAAUGACGGUACCAGCAGAAGAAGCCCCGGCUAACUCCGUG
This 431-nucleotide ribosomal RNA is filed under the name uncultured bacterium. RNAcentral describes it as "partial 16S ribosomal RNA". It matches the Rfam family "Bacterial small subunit ribosomal RNA", at positions 29 to 507 of the family's 1533-position model. The record is from RNAcentral.